Molecule: ribosomal RNA, 253 nt
Filed under: uncultured bacterium
Lineage: Bacteria
Description: partial 16S ribosomal RNA
Rfam family: Bacterial small subunit ribosomal RNA
Source: RNAcentral
UACGGGGGGUGCAAGCGUUGUCCGGAUUUACUGGGCGUAAAGGGCGCGUAGGCGGUUGUAUCAGUCGGGCUUAUAAGUGCGGGGCUCAACCCCGUGAUGGGUUCGGGACGGUAUGACUGGGGCGCGGUCGAGGGAGACGGAAUGCCGGGUGUAGUGGUGAAAUGCGUAGAGAUCCGGCGGAACACCGGUGGUGAGGGCGGUCUCCUGGUCCGAGGGCCGACGCUGAGGCGCGAGAGCGUGGGGAGCGAACCGG